CGAAAGCGUGACGCAGCAACGCCGCGUGGGGGAAGACGGCCUUAGGGUGUAAACCCCUUUCAGUUGGGACGAAGGCCGGCACGUUAAUAGCGUGUCCGGUUGACGGUACCUUCACAAGAAGCCCCGGCUAACUACGUGCCAGCAGCCGCGGUAAUACGUAGGGGGCAAGCGUUGUCCGGAAUCAUUGGGCGUAAAGAGCGCGUAGGCGGUCCGGUAAGUCAGCUGUGAAAGUCAAGGGCUCAACCCUUGAAUGCCGGUUGAUACUGUCGGGCUAGAGUCCGGAAGAGGCGAGUGGAAUUCCCGGUGUAGCGGUGAAAUGCGCAGAUAUCGGGAGGAACACCAAUGGCGAAGGCAGCUCGCUGGGACGGUACUGACGCUGAGGCGCGAAAGCGUGGGGAGCAAACAGGAUUAGAUACCCUGGUAGUCCACGCCGUAAACGAUGGGCACUAGGUGGUUGGGGGUGUCGACCUCCCCCGGCGCCGUAGCUAACGCAUUAAGUCGCCCCGCCUGGAGAGUACGGCCGCAAGGACUA
This 532-nucleotide ribosomal RNA is filed under the name uncultured Actinomycetes bacterium. RNAcentral describes it as "bacterial SSU rRNA". It matches the Rfam family "Bacterial small subunit ribosomal RNA", at positions 376 to 897 of the family's 1533-position model. Lineage: Bacteria; Bacillati; Actinomycetota; Actinomycetes. The record is from RNAcentral.